UAACAGCUCUGCUGCUAUGGCAGCCAGGGAAUAUUUAGCAAACAGACCUAGAACAUCUGCAGAGCUCUGGAUUCCGACACGAGAACCGUCAGGUAGUCAGGGAUAUCGGCUGCAGAUUUCCCCUGAGCUUCAACAAGCAAAUUUUCAACAAGCUCAUUAAUCAAGACAGGAGACAUUUUUGGAUAUUCAGAGGGGAAAAGGAACAUCAUGAUUAUUAGGAAAUAAUCCUAAUAGAUACUUAAAUGAAUAACAAGAGAGAUAAGUGGAGGGAAAUAAUAGCAGGCUGUCCUGGAAAUGUUGGGUUUAAGGAAAGCAGAACAUCCCCAUAAGAGCCUCUUGAACCCCCAAAUGUCUUCAGGAACUCAAGGCGCUGGUGAAUCGGACUAUAAUAGACUGCCAGGUGUUAUCCAGCAGCUAGGAUUUAGAGCAACAGAGAUUUUGGAAGCCCCAGGCUGGAGCGAAUUUCUCAGGAUGAGACCUAGCCAGCCUCACCCCGCCAGGGUAAAAAAGAAACUGUAGAGGAGGCAAAUUUCAGCAGACCCAUUUCAGAAGAAGAAAUGGGAGGAAGAAGCGCCAAGAUUCCAACGCCAAGAUUACAACUCUUCAGAGUUGUAAUCAGAUGCUUAACCAACUGCGCAACCGCUCUCGACUGUUUAACAUCAUCGGUCUAUGAAGCCCUGAAUCUUUGGGGCACAAUUGCUUCACAGGCUGCAGAAAUAAAUUGGGGCAAUCCACGUCUGAAAGAGACCCAACUCAGCUGACCACCCUCUGGCUGCACAGUUUUGCUUCCUUUCUUUCCAUCUGUUCAUCUUUAAAGUCCCCUUCUGGGCAAUGAGGAGGGGGGUGCCAUUACAGAGAUGCUGGUUGGA
Molecule: long non-coding RNA, 869 nt
Organism: Crotalus tigris (Tiger rattlesnake)
Lineage: Eukaryota; Metazoa; Chordata; Lepidosauria; Squamata; Viperidae
Exons: 3
Source: RefSeq, a predicted model, not a curated record